RNAcentral lists this ribosomal RNA (253 nucleotides) under uncultured bacterium. RNAcentral describes it as "partial 16S ribosomal RNA". It matches the Rfam family "Bacterial small subunit ribosomal RNA", at positions 524 to 776 of the family's 1533-position model. The record is from RNAcentral.
UACGGAGGUGGCAAGCGUUGUCCGGAAUUACUGGGCGUAAAGCGCACGUAGGCGGCUUUGUAAGUUAGAGGUGAAAGCCUGUAGCUCAACUCCAGAAUUGCCUUUAAGACUGCAUCGCUUGAAUCCAGGAGAGGUGAGUGGAAUUCCGAGUGUAGAGGUGAAAUUCGUAGAUAUUCGGAAGAACACCAGUGGCGAAGGCGGCUCACUGGACUGGGAUUGACGCUGAGGUGCGAAAGCGUGGGGAGCGAACGGG